This 376-nucleotide ribosomal RNA is filed under the name Escherichia coli. Its description in RNAcentral is "partial 23S ribosomal RNA". It matches the Rfam family "Bacterial large subunit ribosomal RNA", at positions 1 to 416 of the family's 2925-position model. The record is from RNAcentral. Lineage: Bacteria; Pseudomonadati; Pseudomonadota; Gammaproteobacteria; Enterobacterales; Enterobacteriaceae.
GGUUAAGCGACUAAGCGUACACGGUGGAUGCCCUGGCAGUCAGAGGCGAUGAAGGACGUGCUAAUCUGCGAUAAGCGUCGGUAAGGUGAUAUGAACCGUUAUAACCGGCGAUUUCCGAAUGGGGAAACCCAGUGUGAUUCGUCACACUAUCAUUAACUGAAUCCAUAGGUUAAUGAGGCGAACCGGGGGAACUGAAACAUCUAAGUACCCCGAGGAAAAGAAAUCAACCGAGAUUCCCCCAGUAGCGGCGAGCGAACGGGGAGCAGCCCAGAGCCUGAAUCAGUGUGUGUGUUAGUGGAAGCGUCUGGAAAGGCGCGCGAUACAGGGUGACAGCCCCGUACACAAAAAUGCACAUGCUGUGAGCUCGAUGAGUAGG